RNAcentral lists this long non-coding RNA (4180 nucleotides) under Homo sapiens (human). Its description in RNAcentral is "HSALNT0100306". The record is from RNAcentral. Lineage: Eukaryota; Metazoa; Chordata; Mammalia; Primates; Hominidae.
CUGACAGAGCAAGACACUGUCUCAAAACAGUAAUAAUAAUAAUAAUAAUGGUUUCUCAUAUAUUUGUCAUGUGAAAAAAAAAGCUUCAUACUAUUUUAGGGGGCAGUUUUGAAACAUAGUGUUCACAACAUUGUAUGGCAUCAAUUUUAUAAAUAUCUGAAGUUUUUUUCCAGGCCCAACUUCUGAGGAAGGUGCACUUCCGCUGAGUAACUGCUUUGCUUUUAUCAUAUGUAUCCUAAGUCUUGAAAAUAACCAUGCUUCCUUUUUUCUGUUUGACUGCUGGGAAGCUCUAAAACAAUUUGGAGCCUAUCUUAUGACAUGUAUUUUGUGUAUUAACCUUAGUAUGUGGCUUGUAAUAGCACAUUGGUUCAGGGCAUGAAAUCCAGAGCUCCAUAAUUUACUAGCCAUGUGAACUUUGGGGAGUCACUUAACUCUCUGUGACUGAGAUUUCUCAACUGUUAAAUGGGAUAAUACCUAUGUAAUGGGAUUGUUUUGAGAACUAAGUAAAGAAAUGUAAAGCACUGUGCCUAGUAAACACUAUUACUAAUCUACUUUUUUUUUCCUGUGAAGAAACUGAUACUGACCACACAGAUCAUCUCUUUCCAAUAAGUAAGGUAGCUUUCUAAUAUCCAACACUCACUCAUAUUUUUGAAAAGCCAGGGGAAAUAACUUUAUUUAUAUCCACUGCAUUUGGAUAUAAGUUUCAAAAUUUUUUUCAGAGCUUUCUAUUAGCCAAAGGGGUUGGGAGGGGGCGUGGCAGGGAGAAACGCAGAUUCAUUGUACACACAAAUAAAAAAGAACUUGCUCAGGGAAAGUGCAGAAAACGAAGAGUUGAUUUUAUUUCCUUCCUUCUCUUUCCUCCUCCUUCCCUCUGUCUCCUUUCCCCACAUGGCUAUAUCUUUCUUACUUCCUUUCUUUCCUGCCUAGCAUACAUGGCAGACACAGAUGAAAGCAACAAAUCUACUUCAUGAGCUACAAAGAAUGCAAAAAUGACCAGAGAAAAAUAACCUGCUUUAAUUAUUAUCAUUUUAUUACUUCCCAUUUAUGAUAGAGCUCCUUGAAUCAACUAAUUUUACUAAAUUACAAAUAUAAAAUAAACAUGUUUUAUCAUAACCAUCACAACUGAAGACAUAAUGCAUUUGUAACAGUUAAUGACUUAUCCAUGAAUUUUUCUCCUUUGGAAGCCUGAAGUGGCAAAGAAAGAUAUACUAAAUCUAGUUUCUUCUUUUUUUUUUUUUAAGUAUGGAUUCCAGCAUUGAAAGUAAUCUAGUGAAAAAUGACCUCCCUAAUUUUGCAUCAAUAGCCAAAUCUAAAUGGAAUUUGAGACAACAAAUUUAAAAAUGUCUGUUAUGCUCAAUUAUGCUCAACGUGCUGUUGAACACAUUGCUGGAGAUUACUGUGUCAUUUGUGGGCACAUGUUUCUACAGGACUUAAAUCAUUUUUGUAGAGGUGAAUAAAAUCCAGAAACUUGGAUAUUUUUAAAAAGUAUUUGUCAGCCAGGCGCGGUGGCUCAUGCCUGUAAUCUCAGCACUUUGGGAGGCCCAGGUGGGCGGAUUGCUUAAGUCCAGUAGUUCAAGACCAGCCUGGGCAACAUGGUGAAAUGCCAUCUCUGCAAUAAAAUACAAAAAUUUGCUGGGUGUGGUGGCACAAGGCUGUAGUUCCAGCUCCUCGGGAGGCUGGGGCGGGAAGAUCUCUGAGCCCAACAGGCGGAGGUUGCAGUGAGCUGAGAUCAUGCCACUGCAUUCCAGUUUGGGCAACAGAGUGAGACUCUGCCUCAAAUUAAAAAAAAAAAAAGUAUUUGUCAAACAUCAUUGAACAAAAGUUACAACAAAAGAGUUAUUAAUCAGCAAACUCCUUUAAAAUUUACACUUCCAAUGCAUUCUUCAUAUUAUAGUUACCUAUACCUUCUUCAUUUUAUAGUUAAGACAGUUUACAACAAACUUAUCUAGUGAUUGUAGACAAGAGGCUUGAGAAUAUACAUUAAGAACAAAAGGAAUGAAAACAGAGAAGGGUUUCCAAGUGAUGCAAAAAAUGAACUGUGCUAGACAAAUAUAAAUGUCCAGAUCCCACUUCAAGAAAGGAUUUGCUGCCCAGCUGCAAAGAUGGAGUUAGCUGCCAGCAACUUCAGUGUCUGCUUCAGCUGCAGAAAGCUACCUUGCUCAGGGCAGCCCACAUCAGGCCACUGAGUAAGGAGUGGGUUGAAAAGCAUGGCCACUUCUACAAGAUAUGGGAUAACUCUGACAAACAAUACGAACCCCAGAGAGACAUCUGUGGGCCAGCAUCACAGCUCUACUUCUUGCUCUCCCCAAUCCUACUUCUUCACUUCUCCUUUUAAAGGUGAUGAUCCCUGAAAAUAAUCUUAUAUUCCAAACUCAGUGUCUGUUUAUGGAAAACCUAACCUGUGACAGUGGUCCAUUUUAUAUUACUAAGUAGGAAAAGGAAGCUCUAAAAUAGUAUGUGUCAUAUAAAGUGGUCCCAGUUUUAAAAAAAUGAACAUUGACAUACACAUAGGAAAAAGUAUUAAACAAUUUUACACUAAAUUUUAACUGUAGUUAACACUGGAAGAGUAGGAUCAUGGGGAAGUUUCUCCUACUUUAUACCUUUGGAAAAGACAGAGGCAUAGUUAGAUGUAGACAACCUGAGUUUCAAUUUUCAGGUAUAGAUAUUAACUCCAUGAAUAUGUAUUCACUUGGGAUAGGUUAAAUUAUGCUGUGGUAACACACUUUCCCUAAAACAACAAACGCUUAUUUCUCAUUGGUGUUUUGGUCUAUGUUCUACAUUUCUUCAUUCUGAUAUCCUGGCUGAUAGAGAAUGUCCAUCUGCCAGUCUCAUGGCAGAAGGAACAGGUAACACAGUGAGCAUGUGCUGCCUCAUAAAACUUCUGCUCAGAAAUGCCACACAGAAUUUCCACUCAUGUAUCGGUUCCUUAAAUCAAGUUACAUGAUGUUGCCUGAAUUCAAGUAAACAGGAAUGAAUAAUCCUCCUGUAGGGAAGAGCACAGAAUACAGUCGAAAAGUAACACAAUCAACCACAGAAUUUAAACAAAUUACUCAUCACACCUAUUUCUUAAUCUGUUAAGUGCAGAUAACAGUACGAUCUCAGCUGGUGAAAAGGAAUGGAGAAUACAGCCAUCCUUUGGUAUCUGUAAGAGAUUGGUUCCAGGACCUCCCAAGAAUACCAAAAUUUGCAGAUACCCAAAUCCUUGGAUGCUCAAAUCUCUGAUAUAAAAUGGCAUAGUAUGUGCAUAUAACCUAUGCACAUCCUCCAGUAUAUUUUAAAUAAUCUCUAGAUUACUUAUAAUACCUAAUACAGUAUAAAUGCUAUGUAAAUAGUUAUACUGUAUUGUUUAAGGAAUGACAAGAAAAGAAGUAUGUACAUGUUCAGUACAGAUGCCAUUUUCCCCCCAGAUAUUUUAGAGCCACAGUUGGUUGAAUCCACAAAUCUGGAACCCAGGGAAACAGAAGGCUGACUAUACUUACAAGCAUUUAUCCCACUGGAUGAUAUGUAAUAAGCACCAAGUGUUUAUUACUAUACAUAUUUUUACUUUAAAAUUUUUAUGAGUAUGUGUUACUUUUAUAAUUUAUUCUGCAAGUAUUUACCAAGCAUCUCUGUAUCAAGCACCUUUCAAGGCUGUGCAAACAAAAGAGAUGAAAUCUCUGCCAUCCACUGAAGGCAGGAUAGAUAGAGGCAGGCAGACAAUCUGAACAAAAUGAGCUUUCCAGGAAGGUGCAAAACUGGAGGCAGAGAUACCUGGCAACACUGAGCACUGAAAUCUCCUUUCUUUUGCCUGAUUGCAUUUAUAUGAAAGGUCCAGAACAGGCAAAUCUGUAGAGACAGAAAGUAGAUUAGUGGCUGCCUAGGGCUGGGUGGGCGGAUGGGAACAAAGGGGUUGGGAGCAGAUGGGGAGUGAAUGACUGCUCAUGAGUCCAGAGUUGCUUUUUGAAGUAAUAAAAAUAUGCUAAAAUUGAUCAUGGUGAUUGUUACACAACUCUGUGAAUAUACUAAAAACCACUGAAUUAAAAGUAAAGGCAGUAAUUAAAAUUCUAGGGGUUUUUUUUUUUUUUUUUUUUGAGGCAGAGUCUUGCUCUGUCUCCCAGGCUGGAGUGCAGUGGCGCAAUCUUGGCUCACUGCAAGCUCCGCCCCCCCAGGGUUCACGCCAUUCCCCUGCCUCAGCCUCCCG